AGAUGGUGUCUAUAGUAACAGUGGAUAAUAGUCUCUGGGAAGGCAGCGUGGCUGUGGGAUAGUAGGGAGUUAAGGUGCCUAUAGUAGAUCCUCAGGUUGUGUUUAUAAAAAAACUUAUUUUUCAGUAUUCUUGAAAAGAAAACCAAGAAUAUAGGCUUUACCCAAAUUUACUUCCACAGUCACUUUCCAUGUGGACACAUGACACAAUUCCUAUGUUUUAUCAUCAGUUAUAUAAAGAGACAGGUUUCCCUUCUCUCCUGACAAAUUGUGCCUGUAAAUUAUCUUCCUUUCUGGUCAAUGUUCUUUCUGGUUUUUAAAUUUCAUUUAAAACUGCAUCGAAAUAGACCAAUAGUGUAUUGCAAUGUGUGCAAGUGACACAGGGCUAUGUACGUUGCCAUUUUGGAACAGAAUUUGACCUGGUUGUAUCUCCAAGGUUCAAUGUCAAUAGGUGCAACAGGUAGAUCCACCAAAACAUGGAGAAGCAGCAUUAAUCCCCCACACUUUUCUUUUUUGGGGAAUAUUUGCGCACAUGUUAGGCACAGCCCAAACAUUAUGGUUUUAAGUGCAGUCCAGAUGAGUUUGACUCCAGGAGGCAAUGUAGAUUCUCCAGCAAGUGGUUCUCCGCAAUGUCCUUUCAUCUCUUUCAGUCUUCAGGGUGUCCUUUCAAUUCUCCGAGCAUUUUUGUCUCUUCCAAUAACUUGGGGCUCCUAAUCAAGCCUUCAUAUGUAUUUUUGGGCUUCAAUAGCAAAGUAAGUUUGAUUUGGUCAAGGAUCCACUUGUUUGUUCUCUUUGCCACCGAGUCUUCUAAAGUCAUCUCCACACUCAACUUUUAAAGGCAACAAUACUUUUCCUGUUCUGCUUCUUCAUUGAACAUUCAUAUCUGUAUAACGUCAUGGAACGUAUCUCAGCCUGGACAUUUCUGCUCUAUGGUCGGGUAGUUGAAGACCGUUUCUAGGCAAUUUGUCCUGGUUCUACCUGGGCUUUGAAUGCUGCAUCCAUUGUUAUUAAUGAUUGAUUGAAGGAGACAAAACCUCCUUAUGACUUCUUUUUCUUCACCAUCUACUCUAAACCCAGCUGUCCUUCCAGCUGUCACAACCUUUGUCUGAUUUAUCUGCAGUCCCAUCUUUUCUCUUGGUUCAUUAUAAGAGUCGGAAGAGCUUCUUCAUUUGCAGCAAUGUGUCAGGUGUCUCUCAGGUAUAGCCAAGAAGAAGAAAAUCUAGUUCUGCAGAUACUGCCGUAUAUAUAGUAAGGGUUUGAUGGUUGUGUUGAGCACCUUGAGUUGUGGUCACCAUACGUUUUGUUGUGAUGUUAAAGGCAGGGCCUCCUUCUACACUGUUCCCCGGGUGAGCAAGAAUUUGAAAUGGUUAGUAAGCUUUGACCCAUCUCUUGUUGGGCAUGACUCGUCAAUGGCUUCUGAGAGUUCCACGCGGGUAAAACAGAUGAUCGGGUCUUCAUUUAAAGCUCAACAGAGAUGCACCAAUCUAGGGAUUCAAAAAUAAGGGUAAUGAUUCAUGAUUUACUUUUCAAGGCUUUAGGUCUCCUUUAAGGAAAAGCAAAGAAUGGUGCUGUUUUAGUCAUGGAUGAGAGAAGACAUACAGUAUUGGAGAGGAUAUGGCUGAUCCCUGUCAUUUUGCUAGGAAAACGCCGACUGCUCUGAAUGGGGCCUUCAUAAUUUAGAGGAGCAGCCUAUCCAAUAAGUGCUUUUUAUGGCGGAUCAAGAGAUAAACACAGAAAAGAAUGUAAAGGGAAAGCGACAGACAGUCAUAUGAUUAUGUUUUUGUAUCGGUCUACUAGGAAAUUUCUCCCCGCAGGCGCGUCCCCAUCUCCCUCAACAUUUCCUAUUGUGCGACGCUCCAGCAACUUCCUAUUACUGAGAGAAGAUGAUGUAAAAUCAUUGUGACAUUUUUUUUCUAAGAGUGAAUUUGUAGCUUUUUCUUCCACCCCCCCCCCCCAACAACUGCGAUACGGGGGGAUAAAAACGUAUUACUGUAAUAUUCAAGGGCAGCCCUCUAAUUAGUGGCUUAAUUAUACAUAAUUCAUUAGCAAACAUUUUAUGCCUUAAUCAUUUUGUGGGGAUUUUUUAUUUGGUUCUGUUAUUGCGCAGUUUUUCAAGGAGGAACAAAGCCGGCCCACAUUGUUUUAAAUCAUUAACUUUGUAACAUUUUUAGCAAUAUUAUUAAUAAGGUAAUAAUCAAGCACCAACAUAUUCAGUAGCGCUGUACAAUAGAAAGGUGUAUACAUGCAAAAAUUGAUACAGGAGGUAAAGAGAGCCCUAGUCCAUAGAGCUUAUGAUCUAAAAGAUGCUGGGGGUCUGAAUUAUUAGCCCACUGGGUGGUGGACCCUGCUAACAAGUAAAACAGGGUCCUAUUGGAAAAAAACAUGGAUGAACUGCCAGGCCCCCGAUUUGAGCCGGUAAGUCCCAAAUUCUAACAAAGUCUGGUAAGUCCCAAAUUCUAACAAGGUCCCUCCCAUGAUCUAUCCAAAACCCCACCCACUUCUCUAUAAACCUCAUCUCUUUAUACAACCCACAAAUCGCAAUUUUAAUUCUCGAAGUCUCCCUUUGCCUCCUCAGUGUUCCGAUUCCACCUAUUUCUUUACAGACUCAAUGUCACUCCCCUGUAAGCUGCCAUUAGAGUGUUCUAGUUCCACCCACUGCUUGAGCCACAGACUCCCUGUCCCUCCCCUUUAAGCUGCCAUCAGAUUGUUCUAGUUCCUCCACUGCUUGAGUCACAGACUCCCUGCCCCUCCCCUAUAAGCUUCAAUCCGAGUGUUCCAGUCCCAUCCACUGCUUGAAUUUCAGACUUGCUGUCCCUCCCCUUGUAGUGCUCCAAGUUUUUCUUGCAGUAAACAAAACUUUGGUCCAUUAGUUUCACUCCCAAAACAACUCAUACACUGAAGUGGGAGUAUAAAUGAAAUAUUGGGCGGGAUCACCAGUUUGUUCUGAUAGGUCCCUAAUGUACAGGUGGAGUUGGCCUGUUUAGGUUGUGGAGUUCGAUUGGUUCAGGAUACCCAAGAAAUAAGCUUGCACAGGACUGCUCAAGGAGAAUCUCACAGAAGACUUUGAAGUGUCUGGACAAGUAAUCUUGGGUGGAAGGUGGCUAGAACCAGAGGCCCAGAGAUUCUAGUUUCGUGCAAAGACUGCAGCUCUUCAGGAACUUCUGUAAACUUCACCUCCAAAACAAAGUAUUAGGUGUUUAACGGUUUUAAUUCACUAUAGUAGACUUAGCAUUGUGUGUAUCGUUUAGGAUUGUCAAUAGCCAUUUUCUUUAGUAAAGUAUUACAUGUUAUAAGCCAUAGUGUGUGUGUUUAUUUCCUUGAAAUUGACUGCAAUUUCUGAACUUAAUAGUGCCCUUAGCACUACACCCCUAUCAGUUGCCGCAAAGUGUUCUAGUCCCACCCACUGCUUGAGACACAGACUUCCUGUCCCUCCCACUGUAAGUUUUCAGAACGCACGUCAUAGGCUGCUGCUUGAAUGGAAGACUCCCAGUAGGGUGCAAUAAACAGUCACAUGAUGGAAGUAAGUCCAUUUUGAAGAACCAAUCUGGUGCUCUAGGGCAGGGGUCCCUAAACUUUUUUUUACCAGUGAGCCACAUUUAAGUGUAAAAUAAUUUUGGAGAGCAACAUAAGUAUGCAAAAAGUGCCUUGUGUGCCAAAUAAUGGCUGUGAUUUGGGUAUUGGCAGCUCCUAUGUGGACAUGAAGCCAACAGGAGGCUCUGUUUGGCAGUAGACAUUGUUUUUAUGCAACAAACCUUGCCUAUGAGGCAAGAAUUAAAAAAUAAGUACCUGCUUGGAGGCCACUGGGAGCAACAUCCAAGGGGUUGGAGAGCAACACGUUGCUCACAAACCACUGGUCGGGAAUCGCUGCUGUAGGAUAAAGUGAAGAACGUCAUUCAUUGAUGCCUUGUAUGAUCAUAACUUCAUACUCGUAUUCCACAUUUUAGAUAUUAUAUUAUUAUCUCCUGAUUAUUUUAAGCAGUACACUAUCUCCCUGCCAUGCUUUAUACUUCAGUGUGGAAACCUAGAGUGCAGAAAAAUGGAAAUGGUGGAGUUAAGACAUAGGCAUCAAAGCCCAUCCAAAGAGGUACAAUAUGGGUCAUUACUUUUACUUUAUCACAAGUUCAAUGCGGCUUUUGGAAAUGCAGGGCUUCAGCAGCCACAAUGUAAUAAAGACGCAGUUUCGUGUAGUGAGUUAAUUAGACGUUCUGUAAAAUCCUUCAAUCCUUCCGUCCGUAGGGGCAGGUCCACUAGCCGCUGACUAGGCUCUAUCUCAGAACGUCUGCCAGGGAAGAUCAAAAUAAGGAAUGAAUACUUUUAUCCAGUAGAACAGUUGCUUCCACGUCUCACCGGACCAGGUCAUAAAAUCAGGCUUGUCUCGGUGAAUUAUGAACACGGUCCUUUUUAAAGAUACACAGGGAACUUAAAGCUUUGCCUUAGCUCCAUCGCUGGUUACAAAACUCCUACAAACUUUCUCAAAUUGAGUUUUCCUUUCUAUUGGAAAAUGUUUCCUUGGUGUAAGGAACUAGAUGGAUGAGGAGUCAGAACAAUAUGAAAUUUAUGGAUCACUUAAAUGUUUUUAAGGAAAAAAUGUGCAUCUUUUUUAUCUUCAGUUUUGGAGGUUUGACAUUUUCCAAUAUGUUCUCUGUAUGAAUAUCAUUUUCACGUUUGUUAUCUUGUUCAACUUAAGUUCCAAAUUUUUAUAGACACAAAUUAUAGAUUGCAAUGUGAGGGAGGAUGAACCCUCAGUGACUGUGGGAGAACGAGUGCUGGCUAUACUGGUUAUACUUUUGGCUAUAGUAGCUAAAGAAAGCCCAAAGUGACUGAGAAUAAAGUAAGAACGUUGGGUUUGGAAAAGAUAAAAUGAUGAAGGCCUAUUUGCUCAAUAUGUUGUUUACAAUUGCUAGAAAAGAGCUUUCAGUGUGCUAGAGAGUGAAAAAUGUUGAGUUGCGUGGUGGAAGAUACAAAGAUGAAGGCCCAGUUGCUCAAUAUUUAGGCUACAGUAGCUAAGAUCAUUAAAUGUAGGGAAUGAGAGAUUAUUGGGUUCUUUGGUUGAAGAUACAAUGAGGAUCCAGUUGCCCAAAAGUUUGCUUCCAUAGCUAGAGAAAGAACCAUCAAUGAUUGAGAAAAAGGGAAGAUUGUUGGGUUGUUUGGUAGAAUAUACAAUAAUGGAGACCCAGCUACCCAAUAUUAUGGCUACAAUAACUAGAGAAAGAUUCCUCAGUGCUUGGUUUUUGUGCUUUUCAAUGUUUAUUUUUUCAAUUUGUCCGUUAUUAUGGUUAUGGUAACAUUAUUUUCAGGUUGGGGAAAGACCAACCUCAGCUUUUUGUAAGAGACAACUUAAGACCUUGACAAAUUCAUUUUACUCCUCUAGGAUCAACUUAUACCUUUAUUAUCUUAAAGGUUCUUAAAUGUAUCUCCUGUAUCAGCCAUCACUUAGUGCUUGUUUCUUUGUUUGAAGAUACAAGAUACAGUUGCCCAAUAUUUUGGCUUCCAUAGCUAGAGAAAGAACAAUAAGUGACUGAAAAGAGGGAAGAUUGCUCGCUUGUUUGGUUGAAAAUACAUUGAUGAAGACCUUGUUGUCCAAUAUUUUGGCUACAAUACCUAGAGAAAGAGCCCCCAGUAUCUGAAGGGAUGGUGAGAGAUUGUUGGGUUCUUUGGUUGACGAUAUAAUGAAUUUCCAGUUGCCAUUAAUAUGGCUUCCAUAGGUAGAGGAAGAACCCUUAAUAACUGAGAAAAAGCAAAGGUUGUUUGGUUGAAGAUACAAUUAUGAAGGCCUAGUUGUCCAAUAUUUUGGCUACAAUAGCAAUAAAAAAGCCAUCAGUGUGUGUGAAAGAGGGAAAUUGUUGGGUUUUGUGGUAAAAGAUACAAAGAUGAAGGCCCAGUUGCUCAAUAUUUUGACUACAGUCGCUACAGACAGACCAGUAACUUUAGGGAAGGGGAGAGAUUGUUGGGUUCUUUGGUUGGAGAUACAAUGAAGAUGGAGUUGCCCAAUAUUUUGGCUUCCAUAGCUAGAGAAAGAACCCUUAGUGACUGAAAAAGAGAGAAGAUUGUUGGGUUGUUUGGCAGAAUAUACAAUAAUGAAGACCCAGCUACCCAAUCUUAUGGUUACAAUAGCUAGAGAAAGAUUCCUCAGUGCUUGGUUUUUGUGCUUUUCAAUGUUUAUUUUUUCAAUUUGUCCGUUAUUAUGGUUAUGGUAACAUUAUUUUCAGGUUGGGGAAAGACCAACCUCAGCUUUUUGUAAGAGACGACUUAAGACCUUGACAAAUUCAUUUUACUCCUCUAGGAUCAACUUAUACCUUUAUUAUCUUAAAGGUUCUUAAAUGUAUCUCCUGUAUCAGCCAUCACAGCUUUAAUAUUUAGCUGAAAAGGACAACUUGUAUUUUAUGACACUUAUAUGUCCUUUCCCGCAUUCACAAGACACAAAUAUGUACUUAUGUGACUCUGAAAAUAAACUGUUCCCUUCAGCAUGUAUUGACCUUGGCAGUACUGGCCCAAAUUAAUCAUAUGCCUUCACAUACACCUUUUUUCUGUUCUGUAAACAAGCUCAAUAUAUCAAGCCUUGCUUUAUAACUCAUUCUGUAUCCCUUUAAUUAUUUAGUUGCCCUUUGGAGAACACCUUCAAGAGAAAAAUAUCCUUUUUUAUGAAUACAGGUGUAUCAAAUAUAUCAUUUUACUAUCAGAGGCAGAAUGGAGAGAUCACCAAGACCAGUAAUGGUCAUCUGUGAAAGUAACAUAUGGGGUCAACUCAUGGAUAGAUGAACUUACAAUAUGUAGGGCAACCUAGGAGAUGAACUGAACUAUGUAGCUAGUUGGUUUACACUGUAUGUCAAUGAUAUCGAGUUGGUAUCUAGUAGAGUUAAGUCAAAAGCUACUGGACUUGGGAGUUAGGAAUUUUUCACCACUCAUUCAACCAGCUUCUUCAGUUGAAUUGACUUAACUCUACUAGAUACUCUAUAUCAUGACCUGGAUGAACCUUCAUAGAGUUGACUAAUGUCUCAACGUAUAGCCUUGCCAUCAUUUCAGUCAAUUGUGGCAUACCCCAGCUACCUCCAUUCCAAGUUGAGUCUCACAACUGCCUUCUUACCUCUUCAGGCACAUUUUUUUGGGGGGUAAGAAGAGGUCCCAGGUUUUCUAGAGUACUACUUUACUCUCAUACACUAUUGUCUCUUAAAAAAGGAACCACAUAUAACUAUCCCUUAUUGGUGGCUUUUGACUGUCCUGCAGAAAUGCUGCAUUGUUUACCCCAUUCAUGAUUACCAAUACAUCAAGAGUCUUCUCUAGCCAUGCUAGGGUUGUAAAUGCUACUCGCCAAGCUUUGAAUCCAAUGUAAGAUGAAGAUACCCAAGCUUAGAAUCCAGUCUAAGAUGAAGAUACAGUUUUUGGGCUACUUACUUAUAUCCCAUUCCAUGUAUCUCCUCAUUGGCCACAGUCUCUACAGGAAUGAAUUAGAUAGGACGUCCCUAACUGCCCUGUUCCCAUCCUCUGACAUUCCAGACACUGAGAAUUCACAAGGUUUUAAAAGUUGCUACAGAAUGAGGUCAAAACUGAUAUGACUUAAGGACACCUGAAAUGAUACGUGACCCUUGUAUCACACACCAUGCAAAGAACUGAAUUUCAGAAGACAACAAGUGCUUCAGGACAGGUUCUGCAAGCAGGAGUUAUGAUAUCGAGGAGACAGCAUUUCCACAUUGCCAGGAUCAUUAUAUUUAUUGCAUCCAAGCCGAACAGCCAAAGGCAGCUGACUAAGAAGAAGCUGCCCGGCUCCCCCACGCUGAUUCCCUUCCACACUUCUCCCAGCUGGAAGUUUCAUAUCAUCGGCCUGUCCAAUUGAUUCUGUAAGGCAAUUAAAGGGAGCGUGUGGGGUGAGACGGUGUAGAGAAACAAUUACAGGUUGGUUUUAUGCUUGCCAUUCACUAUUAGGAGGUCAGACAUGACAGAUUCCGAAUAAACACCAAACAACUUCGGCAGGAAUGUUGGAGAUGGCCCAGCUGAUACCUUCAGUGGCUCUUCUGUUGAGGGAUUAUAGUCUCUCCAUUUUCAUUUGUUCAGGCUUUGUUUCAAUUAAAGGCAGGAGAAGCGAUGGAAAGCAGUUCAGUGGCUGGCAGAAAACGAAUGCAACUGUAAUAGUGUUCCUUUACAUUGUUACUGAGGUUGAAUAAAAGAUACAAGUGCCUCCAAGUUAAGCCUUUGAGAUAGAGGUUGAUGAUGGCGUCUAUUGAAGGAAACAAAAAUUCUUAUUAAUUUUGCUUCUAGAGUUGAAGAUAAUGGAGAAAAAAUGACCAAUGGAUUUAAAGAAAAAUAAAUGUUACCCUGACGUUGCACAAAGGAGGAUUUAUUACACGUCUCAGUGGGACGACAGGUGAUAAAAGAGGGAAAAAGAGCGUCAUUAAUCAUGAAUGAGAUCCACAGCGUGGAAUUGCGUCUGUGAGUCCAGCAAAAAAAAAAGAACUAUGCUCCUCGCAGACGUUUUCUGCCCACUGAAUUAUUAAUAAGCACCAAAAGAAAAGCGAGAGGCUUCUUAUUUCUGCAUUGAAGGGUCCAGGUUGGUGUCAGCGAAUAAUGUAUCAAUGUUUGUAAAGAGAAGGUGGCAGCAUAAUGAAUAAUAAAUUUCCUUUUAUUACUGA
This is a long non-coding RNA of Xenopus laevis (African clawed frog), 8621 nucleotides long. RefSeq lists it as uncharacterized. NCBI's taxonomy places the organism in Eukaryota, Metazoa, Chordata, Amphibia, Anura, Pipidae. The transcript has 2 exons. The record is from RefSeq and is a predicted model, not a curated record.